GACGAACCGUACAAACGUUAUUCGGAAUCACUGGGCUUAAAGGGUGCGUAGGCUGCGCGGUAAGUUGGGUGUGAAAGCCCUCGGCUCAACCGAGGAACUGCGCUCAAAACUACCGUGCUGGAGGGAGACAGAGGUGAGCGGAACUCAGGGUGGAGCGGUGAAAUGCGUUGAUAUCCUGAGGAACACCGGUGGCGAAGGCGGCUCACUGGGUCUCUUCUGACGCUGAGGCACGAAAGCCAAGGUAGCAAACGGGAUUAGAUGCCCCGGUAGUCUUGGCUGUAAACGAUGAGCACUUGAUUGAAGGGUCCUCCAUAGCCUUUCAGUCGUAGCGAAAGUGUUAAGUGCUCCGCCUGGGGAGUAUGGUCGCAAGGCUG
This 374-nucleotide ribosomal RNA is filed under the name uncultured prokaryote. Its description in RNAcentral is "bacterial SSU rRNA". It matches the Rfam family "Bacterial small subunit ribosomal RNA", at positions 524 to 896 of the family's 1533-position model. The record is from RNAcentral.